RNAcentral lists this long non-coding RNA (12782 nucleotides) under Brachypodium distachyon (stiff brome). RNAcentral's name for it is "long non-coding RNA (BDIS_LNC003844)". Lineage: Eukaryota; Viridiplantae; Streptophyta; Magnoliopsida; Poales; Poaceae. The record is from RNAcentral.
AAGCAUCAUGUUGAAGACAUCUGGAUGUGCCUUUUCAAUCUCAUCAAAGAGAACUACUGUGUAAGGGCGACGGCGAACUGCUUCAGUUAAUUGACCACCCUCGGUAUAGCCAACAUAUCCAGGUGGUGACCCAAUUAGUUUGGAGACAGUAUGUCUCUCCAUGAACUCACUCAUAUCAAGUCUGAUCAUGGCUUCCUCAGAGCCAAAGUAGUAUGAUGCCAAAGCUUUGGCCAGUUCUGACUUACCAACACCGGUUGGUCCAGAGAAUAUGAAACUUGCAAUAGGCCUGUUUGGAUUCUUCAGGCCAACACGGGCUCGGCGGAUUGCACGGCUAAUAGCUUUGACAGCCUCAUCCUGACCGAUAAUACGUUGAUGCAGUGUUUCCUCCAUCUUCAGGAGACGGUCAGAUUCAUCAGAGGAGACCUUCUCGACAGGUAUUCCAGUCCAAGAGGACACAAUGUGCUGAAUAUCUGCCUCUGUGACCAAAGGACCAACUUCACCAGACUCUGUCUCUGCCUUAACCAUUUCCUUGCUUUUGUCAAUGAUGGCCGUAAUCUGUGCCUUCAGUUCCAUCUCUUUGUCUCUUAGUUCCCCAGCCUGUCAAAACAAUAGAUGGCAGGAACAUAUCAAAAGGAAAAUACUGGUGAGGGAAGACUCUUCAAAGUUCAAAGGCUGACCAAUCGGGAAGAAGUUUCGCCAUGCACAUAAAACUAGUACUCCCUCCAUUCAAUAAAGAUUGGCACGGCUUUGAACUAGCUCUAGUUCAAAGCCAUCAAUCUUUAUGGAACAGAGGGAGUACUGACUCCAUCCAAAAUAAAUUAUGUUAGUACUUUGCAAUGUAUCCAAUAUGCAACUCAACUUUUGUAUGAAAAUGUAAAUAAAAAUUACUGCCUCUAUUAAAAAAACCUUCAAAAACAUGACUUGUAGAAAGCAUGCAGUCAAACUUCUCCACCUUUGACAACAAAGUAACAAACAAACUAUUUUGAUUUAUUAAGUAAAAACGAUAUCAUUACAUUUGUCAUAAAAAUAGUUCCAAAAUAUGUAAUUUUUCUAACUUUUUACAAACAUACAUAUGUGAAAGCAAACAUAAAAGUUGUGUCUCGGAGACUGCCAUGUUUAAAUGCCAGAUAUAUUUCUGAAAAGCAGUAAAAGAAAAUGUAUUGUGAAACUGUUUUUCAGAACAAAUUUAAUGAUACCAGUUGCACCUAACAAACCUAAAUACCCCCUCUUCCCAUUUUAUAAGUCAGAUAAAAUUUGUUGGCAAUAUCAAGGAGUUCAGGUGCGGCUCCAAUUUAAUGGAGCGACACUUUUACUCUGAGCCACAGUGACUCGCUACGACACUAGAUUGUAUCGGCAACCAAUAUCCGCAUCAAUGCUAUGCAUGUACAGAAUGCUUGGUCUUGCUGCCCUUCUACUACUACUCAUUAGGCAUCCAACAGUCACAGCAUGCUGUAUCGAUGACACACGGAAACCAAAAUGUAAGCAUGCAUGCGCUAGUUAAUUGCACCUAUUUUAUGGGAAGAGGAAGUAAUUUUUUAUACUAGUUAAAAAUACACUAUUGAUCAUGACCAAGGCUGUCAACAUCCGGAUACCAGGUACUAUCUUAUUUUGGGGCAGCAGUCUCUCAAUCGUGGGAUCAUAUCAUAGCAUCACGAUAGUAAGACGUGGUUUUCAGUUCAAGUAUAGUUAAUUUAUAUAUAACAGAAAAUAGCUCAGAAUGAUUUUUUCAAUACAAUUAUCUAGAAUAGCAAGAAAUAUAGAGUAUAGUAUCAUCACUGGCCAAAAAAAUAAUGAUUAAGACAUACACAUAAGUGCAUGAUCUAGCAUGCAAUAGAGCCAAUGUAAGCGUGUGAGACAAAUAAAUCAAUAUACAAAUAAUACCCAGAUUAGUUAGCAGAUCCUCAAAGAAAUAAUUAGACCUGCAGAGCCCUAUGGCCAUUGAUCUUGCAGCUCACAGCCUACAAAUAGGCAGCCCACAUGCAACGUCAUAACUAGCAAGCACAUACCUCAUUCAGUCCCACCUCACGGAAUUAGAGAGGUUGCAAGAGACUUAAAUACCAGGGCUGCCGGACCAGCAGCAAGUAUCAGCCUCAACCGGGCCUUUGCUAACGUGUUGCUGUUGUGCUGGGUGUGGGAUUGAUGUGAGUCGAUCCAUGUCGCAAUUCUACCGAUUUCACGCUACAGAGUGAUCCCGGGGCCAUUACCAGAUUAAGAUCUGGAGUACAAUAUGUAUCAUUUCAAAUACAGUUGGAUCGUAAAAUCAUACGCUACUAUGAUAUGUAUCGCGAUAUUGAAAACCUUGGUCAUGACAUCAAACAGUGACAAGAUUAAAUAUGUCAAAUAGACACUAUUGAUCAUGAUCAAUAUCUUGCCUGCACACAAUCAAAAUUGGCAUCUAUCUGGAACAGAGGUAGUGCCACACAUUAUCAAUAUAGCAGGCAUUUUUGGAAGAAAGAAAAUUAACCCAGAGCAAAUUUUGUGCAAAUACCUUCUCAAAAUCUUGGCCGCGUACUGCCUCGUUCUUAUCCUUGGUAACCUUGCGAAGUUCUUUGUCCAAUUCUUUUGCCUCAUCAGGGAGCUGCAACACAAUUUCAUCCUAGAUUGGUAAGCUUCACUGUUUGUCAACUCAGGAAUAGUAAGCUGUGUGCUUAUACCUGGGCAUGCCUAAGCCUGACACGUGAUCCAGCUUCAUCAAUCAAGUCGAUAGCUUUGUCAGGUAGGAAACGAUCACUGUAUUUCAACAAUAUAAAAUUUUACUAACUGAACAAAAAAAAAUGGAAUAUUUGUAAGUACAGCAAAGCUCUUGUUCAUUAUUUAUCUUUGUUCUAGACUCGGAGUGAGACCCAAAGACCAAUUUGCGCAUCUAGGUUUGUGACAACGAAACUACAGUUGUAAAAAUUAAUAUCACUAGGCUGGACCAAAAUUAAUAUCAGCCUCCAUACCCCCUGCACGUGAACAUUUUCUUUCAUUUCAUUCUAAUGGGGAGCUAAAUAACUAGGCGAUAUUAGUGGCACUGAGAUGAAGGCUCGAAAAAAUGCAAGUCUGCAGUGUAAAGUCUGAACUGUUUGUUGUUGAUUAUUGAUAUCACUAUUGUUUUACAAUUCUAGCAGCUGAUCACAUCAGACACUUCAACGGCAUAAAAAAAAAUUCAAUUCUACUAGCUGAUCACAGACUUCAAUGGCAGAAAAAUAAUAAAUUCAAUGAGUAGGUGGAUAUCUGAUUAGGAGGUUACUGAAGUAACAUCUUUUGUUGCAAUUAUCAUAAACAAUGUCGCUAUACUGAACUUUCUAGUUUUCUUCUCUUCUACAAUCUUCAGUAGCUUUAUGCUAUGGACAAACUAAUAAAACAUGUUGGCUUUACAUAUUGCAAAAGGCACCACAUGGGGAACCACUAUAACAUUGGAUUACUUGCCCACAUUGAUGUAAAUUAAAUUUACAAAAACAGGCCGAGAAUCAUUGUUGUUAAACAGUACAUGUGCAACUUCAAAUCAAGUUAGUAUUGCAAGACAGGACAAACUUUAACCGCAAAACACUUUAAGCAUUCAUCAGAAGUAACCAGAUCUAACUAAUGCUAACAAACCUGAUAUACUGAUACGACAACUUCGCAGCAGCAGUAAGAGCAUCAUCUGUGUAUCGCAGCUUAUGGUGAAGCUCAUAUCUCUCACGGAGGCCUCUCAAAAUUUGUAUGGUUUCAUCAACAGUUGGUUCAGGAACCUUGACUGGUUGAAAUCUUCUCUCCAGUGCUGGAUCUUUCUCAAUAUGCUUUCUGUACUCAUCCAGCGUUGUGGCCCCAAUACACUGAAGAAAUAAAUACAUAAAUCACAUAGAGAAGGUAAAUAUAGAUAUGCGAUUGAUGUGAUCUAUCAUUGUUCCCAGUCAACUUGAAUACAAUUUGCAUAAAACUUCAAGUCUCCCAUGGAACAAUUGUUUUUUCAAAUCUAAUAUACAGAACCAAAAGAAGGGAGCAAGGUAAACAUAAAAGGUUGACAACAUUUUUCUACCACUUACCUGCAGUUCACCUCUAGCAAGAGCAGGUUUCAAGAUGUUGGCUGCAUCAAUUGCACCCUCAGCCGCACCUGCUCCAAUCAAAGUGUGCACUUCAUCAAUGAAGAGAAUAAUAUCAUCACUUUGCUUAAUUUCCUCCAUAAGCUUCUUCAGCCUUUCUUCAAAUUCUCCGCGAUAUUUGGUACCAGCAACAAGCAGCCCCAUAUCGAGUGUAAUAACCUAAGUAGCAAAAAUAACAACAAAUCAAUUUCUUGGAACAACACUGAAAUAUCAUAGGAAAUAGGGAAUGCAUGUUCUCAUGUUUCAUCCAGUAGCAAAGUUUAUCGUGUGGAUACCUAUCAGACAUGGAGCACAAUGAUUUUGCGCAGAUAAUUUAAAUCCGACAAAGGACAAGCUUAUGCAGACACCAAUAAAAACAAAAACAGUACACAACUCAAUAAUUUUGAACUAACCUUUUUUCCUUCAAUUGUUUCUGGAACAUCCCCAUUGGUAAUACGCUGUGCAAGCCCCUCGGCGAUAGCAGUCUUGCCAACACCAGGCUCUCCGAUCAGGCAGGGGUUAUUCUUUGUUCGCCUUCCUAAUAUUUGGGUGACACGCUCAAUUUGGUCCUGCCUGCCAACAACUGGAUCUAGUUUACCCUGCAAAAUAGAUUAACACAUUCACAUCUAAUAUAAUGCAGCAAACCAAGUGCAGCAAUGACGAAUGAAAUUUACCUCUUCAGCUAACUUAGUCAAAUUAGUACCGUAUUCCUCAAGUGUAGGCAUUUUUUGACCACUGCUUCCACCACCAACACCAGCACCAACAGCUUCUGUGCUUUCACCAACCAUCCUUAUGACCUGCAUAGCAAGUCAUAUAUCAUGUCCAACAUAGUGCAAUUUGAAACAUUUCAACUGAAAGACCAAGGUCAGAGGAUUGCCUGUGUGCGAAUGUUGUUUGGAUCAGCACCGAGACUUUCUAGCACUCGGGCAGCCACACCUUCACCUUCACGAAGCAGGCCCAAGAGUAAGUGUUCAGAUCCUAUGUAAUUAUGCCCUGAACAAUGAAGAACCAUGGUUAGAAGCUAUCACUCGACCUUCUCAUGGAUAACUAGGACAUAAAACAGCAAAUGGACGUCUAUUGUUGGCUGUUAGAAGUUUCACAUCUUGUGGUCAUAUACAAUCUAAUGCAGCAACGUGGAUAUGACAUAUAGGAAAGUUGAUCACAUAGCAAAUUCAAAGUAAAGUAGAAUAGUAGGUUACGUAGCAUACUUAAACCGCUACAGUAAAACUUACUUGGAGACAAGCGCACAUCUCAUCUUAUCAUAACAAUAUGAGUUUAUAUAAAUCUGAAGCACCAAAAAUCAUUUCUCUUAUACAGAUUCAAGUGCAUAUCCUUUUUACUCUAGUAUCUGAUUCUAGCUAGUCAUUCGCUGAUCACAUCGCCAAAGUAUAUCAUUAAAAAAGAAGAGAGAAAUUUCAUGUCGAAAGAGAAAAUCAUGUUCUGGUAAGAAGCAAUAGAAAAUAUACGGGACGGUGAUAGGAAUACAAGAGAUGGACAUGGUUACGAAUGAACAGUGGAAAAAUAUAGAUAACUUGCACUGUCCACAUAAAGCAUAACAAAUAACAUGAGCUUAAGUUGAUGGGUAAUAAAAAGGUCAGUACCAAGCUGACGAGCUUCUUCAAGCGACAGUUCCAAUACACGUUUUGCACGGGGUGUGAAUGGGAUCUCAACAGCCACAAACCCACUGCCUCGUCCAAUGAUCUUCUCAACUUCUACACGAGCAUCCUUAAGAUUAAUGCCCAUUGACUUAAGAACCUUAGCUGCAAUGCCGGUACCCUCACCGAUAAGGCCAAGCAGGAUUUGCUCUGUCCCGACAAAAUUGUGGCCUAGCCGUCUUGCCUCCUCUUGGGCGAGCAUAAUCACCUUGAUUGCCUUCUCUGUAAAGCGCUCAAACAUGGCACGCACAACCAUUCGAGACCCCUUUCCCCUCGGCCGUGCAAGCUGAUGUGCUACAAUAGAGCCAAAGUCACGUCUAACCACAGAUCUUGUGUCCAAAAAAUUUGCCCUCCGCAGUCCUUGAAAACCCCCUAGGGUCAUGGUCUGCGUCCGCAUACUGCAUACCGAUGCUGCCCUCACUGAUGUUGCCCUUGCACGCGCACGGACCUGAGCACCGCUGUUAUAUAUUGUAGGGACAAUUGCUGACUGAACCAGAGCCCCCUCCAUGUCGGUAUGUCUAAAGGAAGCCCCAAGCAACCCUUUUACCAAGACCUGAAAAUGUAUUGCUGAUUAUGGUAAGCAUCACAAUAUGCCGAAAUGGUCAUGAAUGGAGCUAAGAUAGACACUUUAUGGGAUAAGAGCAAGUAAACAACGCCCUGUACGGCGAGAAAGUUCCAUAGUCAUCCAAAUCCACACUCAACUAAGCCCAUAUGGGAGCGGCAGAAGAAUUGCAUAUAAAGAAGUCAACCAUGACAGUUUCUCCCAUGGAUAUACAGAUAAGGAGGUGCUGCCAAUCCACUGAUAGUGGCACUCGCAACCCUAAUAGCCGAUAUACUCCAUAAGAGUAACUCCAGGAGCUGCCCUAUCCGAUGCCGAUAGUCGUAUUCAAGGGUUUUGAGCAAAAACAAAAACAAAACAAAAACUGGUCCGGCAGCUUCACCAUCCGACUCCCCAAAUCCCUUCCAGGAUCCCCCAAACUCGGGUUUGGGGCUCCCCAUCCCCCAACGACUCCGACGGAAAGCUCCCCCCCCGCGAAGUAUGCUCUCCCUUCCCAUUCCCCUUUCUCUGGCGCUCCCGCUGCGGCCGGACUAGACGCAGCUACACUGACUGGGCUGGGCAGGAAGGGGAGAACAGGAGGACGUAGAAAGUCAGAGGUUAGGCACGGCGGCGUACCAGAUAUGGACGGGGCGUCGAUGGGACCCGGAAGGCGAAGUGGAUCCGGCGCACGGCGUCGAGGGGAGCCCGUUGGCGGCGGCGGCGGGUGACGACGGUUGAUGCUACGCUACGCCACCCUAGGAGAGGGGAGGGGACUCGGCGAGGAGGAUUCAGGAAGAAGGGAUAUGGAGCUCAUACAGGAGGAGGGCAAGGGGAAGCAAGAGAUAAGAAGAGCCGGCUACGUCACGUCAGCCACGGCACGCAAUUUUUACAUUCAUUGUAAAUAAAAACGAAAGAAAACUGUUACAACUAAAAAAACACAGAGAAAACAAUCAUUAAAAUACAUUUAAGUCUAACUGGCAUCCUGCAAGCAAAUAGUUCUUUUUAAUAGCGAAAAUUAUGACGAUGCGCGUUCGCACGUUGGUUUCUCCACUCUCGAGCGCAUCUAGUGCUGCGUUGGCUCCUGCCGUGCUAGCGCUAGGUGCUGUUGUUAAGCUAGGUGAAUAGGUGCAUGCAUGCAUACAUUUUUUCCUACUGUCACGCUGGCUCCUGCUGCAUCUGCGCGGAUGGUGUGAUAUGUGCUGAUGCUUAGAUAAGUGGCUAGCCACAUGCAUGCAUUGUUUUUUUUUCUUUCUAUUUCUACAGAAAUUAUAAUGACAAGCAUGUUUGCUCUCUCGUGGUCUUGUUCGUCGUUGUUGUCGUGUCCGUCCAUGGUGCCCUCACCGCCGCGCGCUAUGCCCGCUUCCUCGCGCCGCCGCACUGAGCCGUGCCCGCCGCCUCGUGUGGCCUGCCCGCACCCGUGCGCCAUCCCCGCCACCACGUGCCGCCCCAGCCGGCACCGGCCUGCGCCGCACCCGCCUCUGCACACCUCUCCCAUCGCCGCCACGAGCCGUACCUGUCGUUGCCGCACGCGGUAGAUGUCGUGCCGUGGCUGCUUGCUCAUUUUGCCCGCCAGUAGCGGGGGCAAAAACGCUCCUCGCCCACAAGGACAUAAUCGAUUUGUCAGCGUCGUAGCUAGCUGCUUUAUUUUGUUUCGGGACGAAUCAGGCUGCUUGUCCGCAAAUCGUAAUCGAGAGGUGGAUUCAGCGGUGAUGUCUCUGCCGCAAGGCUUGCAUGAGGGAGGAGCCCCGGCAAGAUUCAGUGUUACGAUGACGGAAUCGAGCGGUGGGUGCUAGAUUUUGAUCGAAACGGACAUAUAUACAAUGGCUAAAUGUGUCCAUUAGGGUGUGGCAGUUUGUGUUCAACAAAGAUGGCAAUUUAUCUGUAUCAUGCAUGGCAAAUCAUGUUCAUCAGAGGUGGCAAUUUGUCUGCAUUAGAGGUGGCAAUUUGUGUUCACCGGAGGUGCCAACGAGUGUGCAUUAAGGAUGGCAAUGAGUGUGCGUUAGGGUGGCAAUUUAAGUACAUAUGAGGCUGGCAAUUUGUGUGUAUUAGGGGUGCUAAUUUAUGUGCAUUGGGGAAAACAAAAAUAUAGAUUUGUGUGUGUCGUUUCAAAUGAAUGUGGUAGCUUAAUUUGGAGUGAAGGAAAUGUGGGAUGCAAUGAUGGGUGCUAGACUUUAACCGAAAUGGAUGGACGUACAUGGUUAUGUGUGUUCAUUAGAGGGUGGCAAUCUGUGUUCAUUAGGGUGUGACAAUUUGUGUGUACUAUGGGUCACAAUUGUGUUCACUAGGGGUGGCAAUUUGUAUUCACUAGGGGUGGCAAUUUCUGUGCAUUAAGGUGUCAAUUUGUGUGCAUUAAGGGUGGCAAUUUGUGUUCAUUAGAGGAUUACAAUUUAUGUGCAUCAGGGGUGGUUAUUUUUGUUCAUUAGGGUGGCAAUUUUUGUUCAUUAGAGGGUGACAAUUUGUUUGCAUUAGGGGUGGCAAUUUGCCUGCAGUAAGAGAGACAUGUAGAUAAGGUUUAAGUGAGAUCAUUUUAAAUGGAGAUGGUAUCUUAAUUUAGAGUUGAGGAGACGCAGGAUGCGGUGGUGCGUGGUCGAUUUUUUACCGAAAUAUAUGUGCACUGUUAUUGUGUUCAUUUGAGAGUGCAAAUUAUAUUAAUUAGGGAUGAUGAUUUGUGUGUAUCACGGGCAGCAAGGGAGAUAGGGUUUGUAUGAGAUAUGAUGAGCUGACGCGGAUUGACCGGCACCGUCACGUGUUGUACCUAUAGCGCAACCGUCGCGCGAUAUUGUAACUUUAUAUGUUGGAGAGUGUCAACUUUAUAUACCGUAGGUUGGCAACUUUUAAUAUGAUUUUUUUUUUGUCGAAACAUAUCAAUAUGAGAUCUUGUUUUGAAGAUCUCAUCGAAACAUAAUUAACCACGAAGACGGAUCUUAAAUCGAAUGUUCGGUUUGAGAGAUAUAACAUUUUAAAGUUGCAUUUGACAAAAUAAUACAUGCGUGUUCACACCCACGGGCAGCUGAGAUACUGCUGCAAGCGGCAUGCAUGCAUGCAUGCGCGCAUGGGCAUCUCCGCUGGCAUGUUUGCCUCUGCUUCUAGCGGCUUCAUGCAUGGUGCGUAUGCGCGGAUGAGUUAAUGCGAGCACGUUCGCGCGUUAUUCUAGCCCUUUUAAUAAACCGUUUAGAUUUUACGUCCUCUCCUUGCUUUGAGCCUCGCCCAUCCCACGCUUUGUUAUUGAGUGGCUGCGGUGUGUCCAUGUAAUAACACUCUUCCUAUGGUGUGGUUUUUUUUUACCACUCCGUUUGGCGACUUGUUCCCUAGUGCUUUCUUUUUUUCUUUGCUCACGCGGUUGUUAGGUGACCGGCUGUUGUUGGUGGUGAUCGACGGUUGUUGUUUCCCCUUUGGCUUCUUUGUCUGAUUGUUUUCCUUGUUUGUUGCUUGUUGCUGCCAAUUGUUAAUUGUGUUUUCGGGUUGUUGUGAUUGCUGCCUCUUUGGUGGGUUUUUUCUCUUACCGUUUUCUAGGUGUUUCUUGUUGGUCUCAGUGUUGUCCUUGUGUGGUCGAAGUCGAUUCCUGUGUGGAUGUGUCUUCGAGCUAUUGUGUCCACCACUUAGCUGCCGCCCUACUUGCUUCGAGGUGAUUGUUUUUCUCCUUUUGUGUGGCCUCUUCUUCUCCCUCUUUCUGUUCUCCGUGCGUGUUGCCGCUUCUUGCUGCACAAUAUUGUUUGUUUCUUGGUUUCACUUUACCUUCUUUGGUGCCUUCCCGUUGCGUGCCUCGGGUGAAGGUGGUUCUUCUCUUUAAUUAGCUAUUCCUCCAGUGGCGCAUUCGUCUGCUGUCGGCAUGGUUGUGGUCGUGGCUGUCUGGGCGUGUCUUCGGAGGCUUGUUCUGCUCGUGUUUUUUUUUUUUUGCAUUUCCUUCCUACAUGUGGUUGCCUAAGCACACUUGAUGCUUCCGUUUAUAUGAUGGUGGUUUUCUCUCGGCAAGGUCAACGUCAGCGGUUCCAUUGGCUGUUUCGGUUUCUGCCUUUUGCUUAUGGGCAGGCCUUUGUCGGUGAGUUCUUCUGAUUGGUUGGGUUUCAUUUGUUCUGUUUAGAGUCGUUGUUGAUCGGUUGUUCUCACUUUUGAAGUGUUUGUGCUUGGUCUAGCGGGGGGCAUGCAUCUUUGGGGAUUCUGUCUUUGUCAUCACUAGGUGUGUCGGAUUUGCUGGCUACACCGGACUCUUUUCGAAGCAUGUGUUUUCAAGAGCCUCCUAUCGCCGUCUCGUUGGACUCUUCUCUGGGCAUGCGUCCUGAGGAGCUGCCUGUCAGCUUCUCAGUGCCCAUGGAUUUUUUUACGGUGGGGUGGAGGUCGGCGGCUCUGUUGGCUUUUUGGCAUUUGUUUCUCGUUCUACCGGAGGUUGUGCUUCAUAGGUUGUUUUGGUUUGUGCUCGUGAUGUUUAGGGAUUGUUUACUGUUUUUUUUUCUAGGCAAGUCCAUCAAGAGUUUACAAAGCCAUUGCUUUAUAAGUGGUUGUAUCUCAUGUUGUGAGUUCUGCUUCUGUUGUUGACCUCGUUAAGAUGAUCUACUGGCAAGACUUUCAUGAAACAAUGUCACCACUAUGAAUAAACGCAUACCCGCUCGUGGCAAUUUGUUCAUAGAAAAUCCAAUUGAAUCACAAUAAAACAUCUGAUUAUCUUUCGAUACAUGGUACAGUGAAUGACAUGGCUCACAGUUUCUUUUAGAUAGCCAAUAAUUCUUCCAAAUGCACACCAGCGAUCAUCUCCCGGAAUCGAGACAAACGGCUCAACUUGCUUAACAAGUGAGAUGUAAGGCCUCGUUGUGCAAGCCGAUCAUCUCCCGGAAUUGUGACAAGUCUCAACCCGAUUAACAACAAAUGAGAUUUAACGCCUAGUUUUGCUAGCCAAAUACAUAACCAAGCCAACUAUUUGAGAAUAUCUUAGUGAUCUCUAGAUAUCGAGCUUCUUUCGAAGCAACGGACUGAAAUCUUGAGACAGCAGUGCCACCGCGGCUUGGAUGAUGAAAUCAGCGUUCCUGCGUGGUGUCUCCUCGUUGCUGCGUUUAAGGCCUGACUAAUGGAUCUAAACAAUCAGAUUUCCCAUGAUAUGCUUCUAAUCUAAAAUUUUAGGUUCUCUAUUGGAAUACCAAUUAGCACAUGUGAAUUUUUCUUUAUAAUCUUUUAGUACUAAACAAUUGGACGGUAUAUGCCGCCGAUUUUGUAAGUGGUGAAGUUGCCAGCGGCAAUGUCUCCAUCGUUAUUGAAGAUUUUUCUACUAAUUUCCACAAGUGAGGGAGCAGGUGGGCGCCAAGCCGCCAAGCACGUUACAAACAUUACAGUGCCGUCAAAAGGCGUGCUGUCUCAAAACCCAAGCUUCCACGAUUCUUUCUAAAGCAAAUAAACUAAACAUCUAGGCGUGGUGUCUCUGUAGGCUAUGUGGAAGUUAUAUUCAUUGGUCUUCCUGAAAUUUCCACUGCUGGUGCUGAAAAAGAUCGAGGAUAACAACACCACCGAACGAAAUAGAGUAACUGGUAGUCCAGAAUCAUGAUUAGGUGCUCAAAACAGGCGCCAUUGGUUCUGGAACACCGCUGCCGCUGUUGAGAACUAUAACUUUGCCUUCUGAAUCAACAUCGACGAUAGCAGAAUCACCUUCCUUGACCUCACCUGCUAGCAUCUUCUCUGCCAAACUGUCUUCCAAAAGCCUCAUGAUAGCACGACGCAGUGGCCUGGCACCAUAGCUAGGGUUGUAGCCCUCGUCCACCACCCUAUCUCUGAACCUCUCCGUCACUUGGAGGUCGAUUUCUUUUACCUUCAGCCUAUCAAACACUUCUUUCAGCAUAAUGUCUGCAAUUUCCUUCACCUCCAGCUUUGUCAGCUGGCGGAAAACAAUCAUCUCAUCCAAUCUAUUCAGGAACUCAGGCCGGAAGUACUGCUUCAGCUCCUCAGUCACCAGGCUCUUGAUCCUGUUGUAGCUGGUGUCCUUCUCGUCGUAGUCAAGAUCGAACCCAAUCUUGCGGCCUCCCUUCUCAAUGACACUACUUCCAACAUUUGAUGUCAUGAUCAAUAACGUAUUCUUGAAAUCAACUGUACGCCCCUUGCUAUCAGUCAAUCUCCCAUCUUCCAGUAUUUGAAGCAUCAUGUUGAAGACAUCUGGGUGUGCCUUCUCAAUUUCAUCAAAAAGAACUACCGUGUAAGGGCGACGACGAACUGCUUCAGUUAAUUGACCACCCUCGGUAUAGCCAACAUAUCCAGGUGGUGACCCAAUUAGUUUGGAGACAGUAUGUCUCUCCAUGAACUCACUCAUAUCAAGUCUGAUCAUGGCUUCCUCAGAGCCAAAGUAGUAUGAUGCCAAAGCUUUAGCCAGUUCUGAUUUACCAACACCGGUUGGUCCAGAGAAUAUGAAACUUGCAAUAGGCCUAUUUGGAUUCUUCAGGCCAACACGGGCUCGGCGGAUUGCACGGCUAAUAGCUUUGACAGCCUCAUCCUGGCCGAUAAUACGUUGAUGCAGUGUUUCCUCCAUCUUCAGGAGACGGUCAGAUUCAUCAGAGGAGACCUUCUCGACAG